Molecule: ribosomal RNA, 228 nt
Filed under: uncultured prokaryote
Description: partial 16S ribosomal RNA
Rfam family: Bacterial small subunit ribosomal RNA
Source: RNAcentral
UACAGAGGGUGCUAGCGUUGUUCGGAAUCAUUGGGCGUAAAGGGCGUGUAGGCGGUUUGUUAAGUCAUGUGUGAAAUCCCUCGGCUCAACCGGGGAACGACGCAUGAAACUGGCAAGCUAGAGUACCAAAGAGGGGGGUGGAAUUCCCGGUGUAGCGGUGAAAUGCGUAGAUAUUGGGAGGAACACCGGUGGCGAAGGCGGCCCCCUGGACCGGUACUGACGCUGAUG